This 960-nucleotide long non-coding RNA is filed under the name Chinchilla lanigera (long-tailed chinchilla). Its description in RNAcentral is "lncRNA (ENSCLAG00000024393.1)". The record is from RNAcentral. Lineage: Eukaryota; Metazoa; Chordata; Mammalia; Rodentia; Chinchillidae.
ACCCCGAUUCUCGCCCAGCCCCCAGCCCCAUCCGCCCAGGCUCGCACCGCGCGCUCACCACGUCUGCGCCUCGGCGCCACGGCCCAGCCCAGGCGAGGUGCUCAGGCUGCCGGGUGCGGCGACAGGCCACACGCUCCUACCUGGGAGGAGCUGCCAGCCGGUCCUCCUCCUCCUCCUCUUCGCCCGCCCGGCAGAGCCAGCACCACCUGGCAAGGGACCGUCAGCAAAUUCCCCUCCGCACCACCGCGGGGGCGGCAUCCCCGCCCCUCCCAGCAGGAACCAGCCGCGGCUCCGCCCCGAGGCUGCUCGGACCUGUCGGGGAACCCAGGGUGGAUCAGCAGAUGCACAGGCCCAGGCUCCGCCUCGGAGAUCCUAUCGCUACCAGAAACCAUCUGCAAAUUCCCAUCGCACACGCACAAGGCUGCCCGUCCCUUGCUGCAGUUUGCUCUGGCGUCCCCGGCUGCCACUCUGGGGCCUCCGCAGCUGCUGGGCCGCCUUCCCUCCGCCAGAACUCUCCUCCGAGGCCUCCUAAUCCCAGCAGCCCGGCCAGGAGCAGGAAAAGAUACAGAACCCCACGAAGGCAGCGCUCUGCCCCGCCCAGGGACCACCUCGCGGUGCGGUUGGGCAGGACCCCAAACCUCCGCUGGAGAGGAUAGGAGCUGUCCGUGGGCAUGGUGUGGAGCAGUCAUGGGACAAACACUUGACAGGAGCACAGGAGGCCCUGGGGUGUGUGCAGUGCAUGCAGCUUGUUCACAGCCAGAGAGGCCACCUUGGGGACAAAGGGCAAAUGAGCUCUUGGACCUUAACUCAGGACCUAUGGUAUGUAUUCUUUCCUACCCUCAGUCCCCCAAACAGUCUGACUGGUCUAAAAAAACAGGUGCUUUAUGAAAACCAGGAUGUCCUAAACCUGCUGUUGUGCUGGAUGCCUAUAAUCAUAGCACUCUGGAAGGCCCAGGCAAG